AUUAAUAAGCGGAGGAAAAGAAACUAACAAGGAUUCCCUCAGUAACGGCGAGUGAAGCGGGAAAAGCCCAGCACCGAAUCCGCCGCCGUCUUCGGCGGCCGGAACUGUGGUGUUAAGGACAGCCUAUGGGGAUCGGUCGGGAGCCUGAGUYCUCCUGAUCGGGGCUUCACCCAGAGCGGGUGUCAGGCCUCUACGGCUCCUGGCCGGUUCUCUAAGGUCGUCCUACGAGUCGGGUUGUUUGAGAUUGCAGCCCAAAGCGGGUGGUAAACUCCAUCUAAGGCUAAAUACAGACACGAGUCCGAUAGCGCACAAGUACCGUGAGGGAAAGUU
Molecule: ribosomal RNA, 330 nt
Filed under: Fridericia galba
Lineage: Eukaryota; Metazoa; Annelida; Clitellata; Enchytraeida; Enchytraeidae
Description: eukaryotic LSU rRNA
Rfam family: Eukaryotic large subunit ribosomal RNA
Source: RNAcentral